This 1470-nucleotide ribosomal RNA is filed under the name metagenome. RNAcentral describes it as "bacterial SSU rRNA". It matches the Rfam family "Bacterial small subunit ribosomal RNA". The record is from RNAcentral.
AGAGUUUGAUCAUGGCUCAGGACGAACGCAGGCGGCACGCUUAACACAUGCAAGUCGAACGAGAGAAGAGGAGCUUGCUUUUCUGAUCUAGUGGCGGACGGGUGAGUAACACGUGAGCAAUCUGCCUUUCAGAGGGGGAUACCGAUUGGAAACGAUCGUUAAUACCGCAUAACAUAAUUGAACCGCAUGAUUUGAUUAUCAAAGAUUUAUCGCUGAAAGAUGAGCUCGCGUCUGAUUAGCUAGUUGGUAAGGUAACGGCUUACCAAGGCGACGAUCAGUAGCCGGACUGAGAGGUUGAUCGGCCACAUUGGGACUGAGACACGGCCCAGACUCCUACGGGAGGCAGCAGUGGGGAAUAUUGCACAAUGGAGGAAACUCUGAUGCAGCGAUGCCGCGUGAGGGAAGAAGGUUUUAGGAUUGUAAACCUCUGUCUUCAGGGACGAAAAAAGACGGUACCUGAGGAGGAAGCUCCGGCUAACUACGUGCCAGCAGCCGCGGUAAUACGUAGGGAGCGAGCGUUGUCCGGAAUUACUGGGUGUAAAGGGAGCGUAGGCGGGAUCGCAAGUCAGAUGUGAAAACUAUGGGCUUAACCCAUAAACUGCAUUUGAAACUGUGGUUCUUGAGUGAAGUAGAGGUAAGCGGAAUUCCUAGUGUAGCGGUGAAAUGCGUAGAUAUUAGGAGGAACAUCAGUGGCGAAGGCGGCUUACUGGGCUUUAACUGACGCUGAGGCUCGAAAGCGUGGGGAGCAAACAGGAUUGGAUACCCUGGUAGUCCACGCCGUAAACGAUGAUUACUAGGUGUGGGGGGACUGACCCCUUCCGUGCCGCAGCAAACGCAAUAAGUAAUCCACCUGGGGAGUACGACCGCAAGGUUGAAACUCAAAGGAAUUGACGGGGGCCCGCACAAGCAGUGGAGUAUGUGGAUUAAUUCGAAGCAACGCGAAGAACCUUACCAGGUCUUGACAUCGUAUGCAUAGCUCAGAGAUGAGUGAAAUCUCUUCGGAGACAUAUAGACAGGUGGUGCAUGGUUGUCGUCAGCUCGUGUCGUGAGAUGUUGGGUUAAGUCCCGCAACGAGCGCAACCCUUACUGUUAGUUGCUACGCAAGAGCACUCUAGCAGGACUGCCGUUGACAAAACGGAGGAAGGUGGGGAUGACGUCAAAUCAUCAUGCCCCUUAUGACCUGGGCCUCACACGUACUACAAUGGCUGUCAACAGAGGGAAGCAAAGCCGCGAGGUGGAGCGAACCCCUAAAAGCAGUCUUAGUUCGGAUUGUAGGCUGCAACCCGCCUACAUGAAGUCGGAAUUGCUAGUAAUCGCAGAUCAGCAUGCUGCGGUGAAUACGUUCCCGGGCCUUGUACACACCGCCCGUCACGCCAUGGGAGUCGGUAACACCCGAAGCCUGUAGUCUAACCGCAAGGAGGACGCAGUCGAAGGUGGGAUUGAUGACUGGGGUGAAGUCGUAACAAGGUA